GGGGAAUCUUGCGCAAUGGGCGAAAGCCUGACGCAGCGACGCCGCGUGGGCGAAGAAGGCCUUCGGGUUGUAAAGCCCUGUGGGGGAGAACGAACCGUACGGGGGCGAAUACCCUCCGUGCCUGACGGUACUCCUUUAGCAAGCAUCGGCUAACUCUGUGCCAGCAGCCGCGGUAAGACAGAGGAUGCAAACGUUGCUCGGAAUUACUGGGCGUAAAGCGCGUGUAGGCGGUCUGGUAAGUCGGACGUGAAAUCCCGGGGCUCAACCCCGGAAGUGCGCUCGAUACUGCCGGACUUGGGUUCUGAAGAGGAGAGCGGAAUUCCCGGUGUAGAGGUGAAAUUCGUAGAUAUCGGGAGGAACACCAGUGGCGAAGGCGGCUCUCUGGGCAGAUACCGACGCUGAGACGCGAAAGCGUGGGAAGCAAAC
Molecule: ribosomal RNA, 426 nt
Filed under: uncultured bacterium
Lineage: Bacteria
Description: bacterial SSU rRNA
Rfam family: Bacterial small subunit ribosomal RNA
Source: RNAcentral